GCUUUCAUAGCUCAGUUGGUUAGAGCACCCGUUUGGUAAGCGGGAGGUCAUGAGUUCUUGAGUUCAACUCUCAUUGAAAGCA
Molecule: non-coding RNA, 82 nt
Organism: Picea glauca (white spruce)
Lineage: Eukaryota; Viridiplantae; Streptophyta; Pinopsida; Pinales; Pinaceae
Source: Rfam